UACAGGGGGGGCAAGCGUUGUUCGGAAUUACUGGGCGUAAAGGGUUUGUAGGUGGCCGCUUAAGUCAGACGUGAAAUCCCUCAGCUUAACUGGGGAACUGCGUCUGAUACUGCGUGGCUUGAGUGCAGGAGAGGAACGCGGAAUUCCAGGUGUAGCGGUGAAAUGCGUAGAUAUCUGGAGGAACACCGGUGGCGAAGGCGGCAUCCUGGACCAAUAUUGACGCUGAGGAGCGAAAGCUAGGGGAGCAAACGGG
RNAcentral lists this ribosomal RNA (253 nucleotides) under uncultured bacterium. RNAcentral's name for it is "partial 16S ribosomal RNA". It matches the Rfam family "Bacterial small subunit ribosomal RNA", at positions 524 to 776 of the family's 1533-position model. The record is from RNAcentral.